GGGCCCGUAGCUUAGCAGUAGAGCGUCGCCCUUGCAAGGCGGAGGUCUCGGGUUCGAAUUUGUUGGCAGAAAUGCUAGCUAAGAAAUUCCCGACGGGUCCA
RNAcentral lists this transfer RNA (101 nucleotides) under Candidatus Woesearchaeota archaeon. RNAcentral's name for it is "tRNA-Ala". It matches the Rfam family "tRNA". Rfam says of the family: Transfer RNA (tRNA) molecules are approximately 80 nucleotides in length. Their secondary structure includes four short double-helical elements and three loops (D, anti-codon, and T loops). Further hydrogen bonds mediate the characteristic L-shaped molecular structure. tRNAs have two regions of fundamental functional importance: the anti-codon, which is responsible for specific mRNA codon recognition, and the 3' end, to which the tRNAs corresponding amino acid is attached (by aminoacyl-tRNA synthetases). tRNAs cope with the degeneracy of the genetic code in two manners: having more than one tRNA (with a specific anti-codon) for a particular amino acid; and 'wobble' base-pairing, i.e. permitting non-standard base-pairing at the 3rd anti-codon position. The record is from RNAcentral. Lineage: Archaea; Nanobdellati; Candidatus Woesearchaeota.